UCCAUUCUCUGUGCUCCCUGCCCUACCCCAUUCUCAAUCCCUCCCUCAGGAACCUGCAUUGACCGACCUGCUGGACGGGGCAUGAUUUUCUGCAAAGUAGGUGUUAUUGCCAUUUACAGAAGAGGAAUCUGACUCUGCGAGCUUUUAAUGAUGAAACACC
Long non-coding RNA from Suricata suricatta (meerkat), 160 nucleotides. RefSeq lists it as uncharacterized. NCBI's taxonomy places the organism in Eukaryota, Metazoa, Chordata, Mammalia, Carnivora, Herpestidae. The record is from RefSeq and is a predicted model, not a curated record. The transcript is spliced from 3 exons.